Molecule: ribosomal RNA, 550 nt
Filed under: uncultured bacterium
Lineage: Bacteria
Description: bacterial SSU rRNA
Rfam family: Bacterial small subunit ribosomal RNA
Source: RNAcentral
UAGGGAAUCUUCGGCAAUGGGGGCAACCCUGACCGAGCAACGCCGCGUGAGUGAAGAAGGUUUUCGGAUCGUAAAGCUCUGUUGUAAGUCAAGAACGAGUGUGAGAGUGGAAAGUUCACACUGUGACGGUAGCUUACCAGAAAGGGACGGCUAACUACGUGCCAGCAGCCGCGGUAAUACGUAGGUCCCGAGCGUUGUUCGGAUUUAUUGGGCGUAAAGCGAGCGCAGGCGGUUUGAUAAGUCUGAAGUUAAAGGCUGUGGCUCAACCAUAGUUCGCUUUGGAAACUGUCAAACUUGAGUGCAGAAGGGGAGAGUGGAAUUCCAUGUGUAGCGGUGAAAUGCGUAGAUAUAUGGAGGAACACCGGUGGCGAAAGCGGCUCUCUGGUCUGUAACUGACGCUGAGGCUCGAAAGCGUGGGGAGCGAACAGGAUUAGAUACCCUGGUAGUCCACGCCGUAAACGAUGAGUGCUAGGUGUUGGAUCCUUUCCGGGAUUCAGUGCCGCAGCUAACGCAUUAAGCGCUCCGCCUGGGGAGUACGACCGCAAGGUUG